GUGAGGAGUAUAGGAAAAGGCUCAGGGAUAUAGUAGCAUGGUUUAAGAUAGUACAGACCUUGGCUGUUGAUUACUCUGGGUUCUAGUUCAGUGACCCUCUAGAGGGUGGGCCCAGAUUCCCCUACCAGCAACUGGAGAAGUGGCACAGUCUGGGCAGUAAAUGGAAAGAUUGCCUGAGACAGUUUGUAUGGAGAAAUUUUAAUACCCCAGAAGGGGAAAACAUGCAGUGACCUGGCUGGAGGGCCAAGCUACAAAAGAGGGAGCACCCCCCAGUGACCGAGAGGCUACAGGGUGUGCAAAUGAGUGAUGGAAGGGGGUAAUCCCCAGAGCAGCUAGGAGGAGAUGCCCUAGUGAAACCUUGUAAUAUGAUUGUUGGCAUCCCUUGAAGAACAACCUGAAAUAUUAGCUGUUACUUUCCUCAUCAUUGCCAGUGGCCAUCAGCUACACAAUACAGAAGUGAAAUAGUUUUCAGCAAUACCAAAAAUACAGUCCCUGGGACUUUCACAGAGAAGACACUGGUGUGAGUUAGCUAAGCCUGAGUGUACUCAUUUGCAAGCUGUGUUCACGCUAUGUGACCAGAUUUCAAGAUGAUGGCAUCAGAGCUGGGAAGUUAAGGGUUAAGGUCCCUUUCCUGAAAUCUGACCUGCACAGGAGGACCCUUGCACUUGGGCAGAGCCCCGCUGACAUAGCAAGGACAAAUGCUUCUGCCCAGAUGGAUCCAGUACUGUAUGAGGACUGGGACCUGAGGUUGCACGUCUCAAACAAGACUUCGUGAAGUGAAUUGUAAUCCUUACUUGCCCAGGUAAAUGGCUUGGCUACAGCCAUACUCAGUCAGUAGGAAAGGAAUGGGGAGGAGAUAAAGGAGGGUCAUAGAUGCUAUUUAAAACAGAGCUAAGCAGAUCAUGCUGGCAUUGAAAUGUCAGUGCUUGGCACGAAUGGAUACCUAAGGGGACUGGUAUCCUGCACUUGGCGGGGUCUCUCAGCAGGGGGAAAAGCAUCAUUGCUGAUCAUCUGCUGCUGUGGGGACCCACUGCUUGGGAUCAGGGAGGUAGCAGAGCUGCUGUCCUGGAAUACAGGUCACAUCUACAUUAUUCUUGGACUUCCCAGCCCCCCUCAGACCAGUGUUUUGUUUUGUUUUUUUUUCUAAAGUUGCUUUUGUCGUGCAAAACAUUCCAAAGUGCCAAGUGAGCAAGGUGGAUGGAUCGGAGCUAGAGCACGUAAAUACGGAGUCUACUUUCAGGAACCCAGAGAGAACAGGUCUCUCUUGAACACCGCCUACCUUUC
Dermochelys coriacea (leatherback sea turtle) is the source of this 1284-nucleotide long non-coding RNA. RefSeq lists it as uncharacterized. NCBI's taxonomy places the organism in Eukaryota, Metazoa, Chordata, Testudines, Dermochelyidae. The record is from RefSeq and is a predicted model, not a curated record. The transcript is spliced from 3 exons.